RNAcentral lists this ribosomal RNA (355 nucleotides) under Hyphomicrobium sp. RNAcentral's name for it is "bacterial SSU rRNA". It matches the Rfam family "Bacterial small subunit ribosomal RNA", at positions 1191 to 1533 of the family's 1533-position model. Lineage: Bacteria; Pseudomonadati; Pseudomonadota; Alphaproteobacteria; Hyphomicrobiales; Hyphomicrobiaceae. The record is from RNAcentral.
CAUCAUGGCCCUUACGAGCAGGGCUACAAACGUGCUACAAUGGCGCAUACAGAGGGCAGCAAGCUAGCGAUAGUGAGCGAAUCCCAAAAAGUGCGUCGUAGUCCGGAUUGGAGUCUGCAACUCGACUCCAUGAAGUCGGAAUCGCUAGUAAUCGUAGAUCAGAAUGCUACGGUGAAUACGCUCCCGGGCGUUGUACACACCGCCCGUCACACCAUGGGAGUGGGCUGCAAAAGAAGUGGGUAGUUUAACCUUUCGGGGAGGACGCUCACCACUUUGUGGUUCAUGACUGGGGUGAAGUCGUAACAAGGUAGCCCUAGGGGAACCUGGGGCUGGAUCACCUCCUUAUACGAAGAUA